Molecule: long non-coding RNA, 1852 nt
Organism: Mizuhopecten yessoensis (Yesso scallop)
Lineage: Eukaryota; Metazoa; Mollusca; Bivalvia; Pectinida; Pectinidae
Exons: 2
Source: RefSeq, a predicted model, not a curated record
UGCUGUAACCCCUAAUACCCAGUACACAGAUAAAAUUCUCAGUAUACAGGUGGUAUAGUACUCAGUAUACAGAUAGAAUUCUCAGUAUACAGGCGGUAUAGUGCUGUAACCCCUAAUACCCAGUAUACAGAUAAAAUUCUCAGUAUACAGGUGGUAUAGUGCUGUAACCCCUAAUUCCCAGUAUACAGAUAGAAUUCUCGGUAUACAGGCGGUAUAGUGCUGUAACCCCUAAUACCCAGUAUACAGAUAGAAUUCUCAGUAUACAGGUGGUAUAGAAGUAGUGCUAGCACAAACACAUUACAGAUCAUUGAAAUCCUAUUGUAGUCAUUGACACAACUGUCAACACAUUAUUUAUUCCAUAGAUUCGUAAUAAAUUCAAACCAAAUUGUGUACACUGUAGUCUGUGUCAGAAUGAGAAGCUAAUUUAUCAGCCAUCUUGUUAAUUUACAUAAAUGCCAGAAGUGUUUGUUUGGAAAAUUGGGUGAGGAAUGAAGAAGGGGGGGAAAAGAAAAACUCAAAUUAUUUCAGAAUAUGUUGUAUUUUUUCCAAUAUGACGAGAAGUUUUGUUCACCUUUGAUAUUGUGGGAAUGACAUGUUUGUGGUAAUUCUGAAGAUUACCAUCCAUUGUCUAGGUCCAACGACACUAAAUCUUGAUUAUUGGAAACAGCUGUCAUCCAUGAUUUUUAUCUAGUCAUUGAUUUUGUCACAUGUGUUAUAUAAGCGAGUUUUGAAUGAUUGCGAAUAUUUUUAAACAUUUUCUGGAGGUGAAAAUGGGACAGUGCAUUUGUGUACCACUUUUGAUAACAAUAACAUACGAAGCAGAUGUUCUGUGUAUUUAUAAAGGACAUUUGUUGUUCCCAUUAUUUUCCUCAACAGUGAUAUAUAAUCAAUGAAAAAAUAUUCAUGCUUGUCUGUGUCUUCUCUGUUGUCUCUGUGUUUCUGUGGCAAACAAUACUAUACAAAGUAUGACCUUCAUACAGUAUUGUACGAAGUAUGACUGUCAUACAAUACUAUACAAUAUGACUAUUAUGAUAUUGUACAAUGUAUGACUGCCAUACAAUAUUGUACAAAGUAUGACUGCCAUACAAUAUUGUUAAGGUAUGACUAAUACAAUAUUGAAGAACUGAUGAAUGGCAUACAAUACCAUAGUAGUAAGACUUUUGUAGGAUGUUAUACAGCUAGAGUAUGACAGCGGUAUGAUAUUGUUAACAGUAUGAGUAUCGUAGGGUAUUACAGAAAAUAAUAUUGUACAAUAAGUCUCUAUGUUUGUACCCGAUUUACAUACUGAACAAUAGUGUACCAGAUGUCAUACAAUGUUGGAUAAAAUGGACAAGUCAUACAAAACUGUACAAGUCAUACAAAACUGUACAAGUCAUACAAAACUGUACAAGGUUUGGAUGUUAUACAAUGUAGAACAUGUACAAAGUUUUGUAGUGUCAUACAAUGUUGUACAUUGUUUGGCUGUCAGGUAAAUCUGAACAAUGUUACGAUGUUGUAUUGUUUUACAUUGUAUUUUGUUUACACUGUAUGGUGUAAAACAAUACGGCACCACAAAGUAGAAAGGAGUUGUUUUAGCUGGUGACUUUGUACAUGUCGCAUGCUAUAAUUUCUAAUUGUAUUGCUGUCUUGCACCUUGUGUUUUGGAGUCGUACAAUAUAAUACAUAAUUUGCUUAUGUAAACAUCAUGUACGUUGUAUAAUUAUCUACAUUGUAUUACGGGGUAAUGUAUACCGAUGUAAUACCAUGUCAUGUCUGUACACUAUACUUUGUAUGCCAUAUGGUAAAUGCAUAAAUAUUCACAUCCUUAUGUUGCAUAUGACUUUAUUUUAUGGCAUUAAAAUAUGAAACAGGU